This 1343-nucleotide ribosomal RNA is filed under the name uncultured bacterium. RNAcentral's name for it is "16S ribosomal RNA". It matches the Rfam family "Bacterial small subunit ribosomal RNA", at positions 28 to 1378 of the family's 1533-position model. The record is from RNAcentral.
GACGAACGCUGGCGGCGUGCUUAACACAUGCAAGUCGAACGGAAAGGCCCUGCUUUUGUGGGGUGCUCGAGUGGCGAACGGGUGAGUAACACGUGAGUAACCUGCCCUUGACUUUGGGAUAACUUCAGGAAACUGGGGCUAAUACCGGAUAGGAGCUCCUGCUGCAUGGUGGGGGUUGGAAAGUUUCGGCGGUUGGGGAUGGACUCGCGGCUUAUCAGCUUGUUGGUGGGGUAGUGGCUUACCAAGGCUUUGACGGGUAGCCGGCCUGAGAGGGUGACCGGCCACAUUGGGACUGAGAUACGGCCCAGACUCCUACGGGAGGCAGCAGUGGGGAAUAUUGCACAAUGGGCGGAAGCCUGAUGCAGCAACGCCGCGUGCGGGAUGACGGCCUUCGGGUUGUAAACCGCUUUCGCCUGUGACGAAGCGUGAGUGACGGUAAUGGGUAAAGAAGCACCGGCUAACUACGUGCCAGCAGCCGCGGUGAUACGUAGGGUGCGAGCGUUGUCCGGAUUUAUUGGGCGUAAAGGGCUCGUAGGUGGUUGAUCGCGUCGGAAGUGUAAUCUUGGGGCUUAACCCUGAGCGUGCUUUCGAUACGGGUUGACUUAAGGAAGGUAGGGGAGAAUGGAAUUCCUGGUGGAGCGGUGGAAUGCGCAGAUAUCAGGAGGAACACCAGUGGCGAAGGCGGUUCUCUGGGCCUUUCCUGACGCUGAGGAGCGAAAGCGUGGGGAGCGAACAGGCUUAGAUACCCUGGUAGUCCACGCUGUAAACGGUGGGUACUAGGUGUGGGGUCCAUUCCACGGGUUCCGUGCCGUAGCUAACGCUUUAAGUACCCCGCCUGGGGAGUACGGCCGCAAGGCUAAAACUCAAAGGAAUUGACGGGGCCCCGCACAAGCGGCGGAGCAUGCGGAUUAAUUCGAUGCAACGCGUAGAACCUUACCUGGGUUUGACAUGGAUCGGGAGUGCUCAGAGAUGGGUGUGCCUCUUUUGGGGUCGGUUCACAGGUGGUGCAUGGCUGUCGUCAGCUCGUGUCGUGAGAUGUUGGGUUAAGUCCCGCAACGAGCGCAACCCUUGUUCACUGUUGCCAGCACGUUAUGGUGGGGACUCAGUGGAGACCGCCGGGGUCAACUCGGAGGAAGGUGGGGAUGACGUCAAGUCAUCAUGCCCCUUAUGUCCAGGGCUUCACGCAUGCUACAAUGGCUGGUACAGAGAGUGGCGAGCCUGUGAGGGUGAGCGAAUCUCGGAAAGCCGGUCUCAGUUCGGAUUGGGGUCUGCAACACGACCUCAUGAAGUCGGAGUCGCUAGUAAUCGCAGAUCAGCAACGCUGCGGUGAAUACGUUCCCGGG